Molecule: unclassified non-coding RNA, 380 nt
Filed under: Chytridiomycota sp.
Lineage: Eukaryota; Fungi; Chytridiomycota
Description: partial contains small subunit ribosomal RNA, internal transcribed spacer 1, and 5.8S ribosomal RNA
Rfam family: Eukaryotic small subunit ribosomal RNA (bases 1-47)
Source: RNAcentral
AAAGUCGUAACAAGGUAACCGUAGGUGAACCUGCGGUUGGAUCAUUAAUACAUUUGUUAAUAUUCCGGGGACAUGCGCGUCUCGGCGUAGGAACGCGCUUCUGCGUUUAGGACAUGUUUAUGUAUGCAAGUACGUAAAAUGUUCCGCCGAGGCACGGAUGGCUCAUGGAAUGCCUGAAAAGGAAACAUCUUGUGAACUGUUCUGUUUCUGGCGGGGGAGUGGAGUUGCCUUCGGGCUCUCCGUUCGUCAGCUUGGGUUCUCCCAGGCCGUGGACAUCCCGCCAAACACUUUAUUCAACUUAUGUCUUCUUCAAUAAUUUGUCUGACAAUUUUUAUGUAUGUAAAUACAAACAACUUUUGGCAACGGAUCUCUUGGCUCUC